Molecule: long non-coding RNA, 663 nt
Organism: Lates calcarifer (barramundi perch)
Lineage: Eukaryota; Metazoa; Chordata; Actinopteri; Centropomidae
Exons: 4
Source: RefSeq, a predicted model, not a curated record
UAGUAAGGUAAGUUGUUAUUUUUUCCUCUAUAACAUUCACAUGUCUCGACCUGUCAGCCCCUGGUGACUUGGCAACGUAUUCGGAAUGAUCUUGUUGAAUGAAGGUAUUUCUACCAAGUCAGUACAUACAUCAGCCUUCCUGCCGUAGCCCUCUCCACUGAUCACCUCCGGGCUCAUCCAGUAGGGGGUGCCGGUCACUGAGCGGAUGCCGGUGCCAGACAUACAGAUGGUCUGAAGCCUCUUGCUGGCACCGAAAUCUCCAAGCUUCACGUUGCCUGCUGAAUCCCGCAGGAUGUUGGCACCUGAGAGCCAGAGUUGACACAGAACAGAUAAAUAUUUUAUCCCACCAAUCAUCUUCCACACGUGGACUGUCAGGAUCAAACUGGACUUGCUUGGCGGCCAGCUCUCUCCCUGUAUCCACAUCGUAACACAGUUCAGCUAAAUCACCACUCACACUUAUGGGCAACAGAACGGUCCUGAGGACGGAGCCUUCCCUGGGCAUCGACGAGCUGCCAGCUGCCCAGACUCUCCUCGCUGCCAUUGAGCGACCGACGUGAAGGCACGAGAGUGAACAGGUUCCCCUGGGGGCGACGAAUCCGAGGAAAUGUUCGACGACCUGAGGGAGAUCGAGAGAGAAGUUGGUUGGCGGUUAAUCACAUGAUG